This 484-nucleotide ribosomal RNA is filed under the name Morchella norvegiensis. RNAcentral's name for it is "partial large subunit ribosomal RNA". It matches the Rfam family "Eukaryotic large subunit ribosomal RNA", at positions 151 to 648 of the family's 3401-position model. The record is from RNAcentral. Lineage: Eukaryota; Fungi; Ascomycota; Pezizomycetes; Pezizales; Morchellaceae.
UGAGGCAUCUCCGGGUAGGGCGCCGGCCUAAGUUCCUUGGAACAGGACGUCACAGAGGGUGAGAAUCCCGUGCUUGGCUGGCUGUCCCCGUCCAUGUGAGGUGUCUUCGACGAGUCGAGUUGUUUGGGAAUGCAGCUCAAAAUGGGUGGUAAAUUUCAUCUAAAGCUAAAUAUUGGUGGGAGACCGAUAGCGCACAAGUAGAGUGAUCGAAAGAUGAAAAGCACUUUGAAAAUAGAGUUAAAAAGUACGUGAAAUUGUUGAAAGGGAAGCGCUUGAGACCAGACUUCGGUAAGGGGUGAUCAGCCGUCCUUUUGGGCGGUGCACUUGCCCCCCUCCGGGCCAGCAUCGGUUGAGGCGGCGGGAUAAAGGUCCCGGGAAUGUGGCUCCUUCACGGGAGUGUUAUAGCCCGGGUGAAUGCCGCCAGCUUCGACCGAGGACCGCACCCGCAAGGGUUAGGAUGCUUGGCAUAAUGGUCUUCAGCGAC